GGGCCCGCACAAGCGGCGGAGCAUGCGGAUUAAUUCGAUGCAACGCGAAGAACCUUACCUGGGUUUGACAUAUGCCGGAAAGCCGUAGAGAUAUGGCCCCUUUUGUCGGUAUACAGGUGGUGCA
This 124-nucleotide ribosomal RNA is filed under the name uncultured bacterium. RNAcentral's name for it is "partial 16S ribosomal RNA". It matches the Rfam family "Bacterial small subunit ribosomal RNA", at positions 917 to 1045 of the family's 1533-position model. The record is from RNAcentral.